GCUCCCAACGCGACCUCAGGUCAGGCGGGACUACCCGCUGAGUU
This 44-nucleotide ribosomal RNA is filed under the name Fagus engleriana. Its description in RNAcentral is "partial 25S ribosomal RNA". Lineage: Eukaryota; Viridiplantae; Streptophyta; Magnoliopsida; Fagales; Fagaceae. The record is from RNAcentral.